Molecule: transfer RNA, 73 nt
Filed under: Candidatus Cerribacteria bacterium 'Amazon FNV 2010 28 9'
Lineage: Bacteria; Candidatus Cerribacteria
Description: tRNA-Ala
Rfam family: tRNA
About the family: Transfer RNA (tRNA) molecules are approximately 80 nucleotides in length. Their secondary structure includes four short double-helical elements and three loops (D, anti-codon, and T loops).
Source: RNAcentral
GGGCCGUUAGCUCAUCUGGUAGAGCGCUUGCAUGGCAUGCAAGAGGUGGUCGGUUCGAGUCCGAUACGGUCCA